RNAcentral lists this ribosomal RNA (460 nucleotides) under uncultured bacterium. Its description in RNAcentral is "partial 16S ribosomal RNA". It matches the Rfam family "Bacterial small subunit ribosomal RNA", at positions 338 to 795 of the family's 1533-position model. The record is from RNAcentral.
CCUACGGGGGGCAGCAGUGAGGAAUAUUGGUCAAUGGACGAGAGUCUGAACCAGCCAAGUAGCGUGAAGGAUGACUGCCCUAUGGGUUGUAAACUUCUUUUAUAUGGGAAUAAAAUGUUCCACGUGUGGGAUUUUGUAUGUACCAUAUGAAUAAGGAUCGGCUAACUCCGUGCCAGCAGCCGCGGUAAUACGGAGGAUCCGAGCGUUAUCCGGAUUGAUUGGGUUUAAAGGGAGCGUAGGUGGAUUGUUAAGUCAGUUGUGAAAGUUUGCGGCUCAACCGUAAAAUUGCAGUUGAAACUGGCAGUCUUGAGUACAGUAGAGGUGGGCGGAAUUCGUGGUGUAGCGGUGAAAUGCUUAGAUAUCACGAAGAACUCCGAUUGCGAAGGCAGCUCACUGGACUGCAACUGACACUGAGGCUCGAAAGUGUGGGUAUCAAACAGGAUUAGAUACCCGGGUAGUC